Long non-coding RNA from Cryptomeria japonica (Japanese cedar), 1681 nucleotides. RefSeq lists it as uncharacterized. NCBI's taxonomy places the organism in Eukaryota, Viridiplantae, Streptophyta, Pinopsida, Cupressales, Cupressaceae. The transcript has 5 exons. The record is from RefSeq and is a predicted model, not a curated record.
CAAACAUCAAAAUUAAUAUGUUAAAUUAAUAUAUUCAAGUUCUUUUAGAUUGAUGCAAUUUACUCUUAGAAAAAGGGGACUGAAGAACAGAGUAAAAAGAGUAGAGCCAAAAGAAUAAAAAUAGUUUAUAUUGAGGGGGAUUGUAGAUGUCUAUCAUUUGAUCCCUCGCCUAAAACCAAUGUUUGAUCCCCUCAUGUCAAUCAUAAAGAGUAUGGAAACCAUCACUGAGGAGCACAAUGCUAAUCUUUUGUGGCGAGAUUCUAUGAGGGAACAAUAUGCGGAUGACCUGUUCUAUAAGGAGAUCAAGGAUCUCAAGAUAUUCAAAGUCACAAUCGUUGCAUUGUUUGUGAAUCCCCGUAUUGGUCAACCCGUAGACCCCCAAAAAACAAAACUUUCUAUUAAAUCGUGCACAAAUGAUGGUAUUGUGAAAAACUUUUGGGAUCAUUUGUGGAUGGUUUUCGACAAACCACCCAACAACAAUCUUGAUGUCCCCUUCUACUUCAUCAAAAAAUUGUAUGCUGAGUUUGUUUUAGGAAAACAUGUGAACUACUUUGACAUCCAACCUUUCUAGGGUGUGGGUUUCGGUAUGCCCCAAAAUAGACCUGGGUAGUCAGAGUAGUCUAGGGCCCAUAUGUCCCCCCUCCUCCUAUUGAUCCCCCACCUCCAGUGCAACAUCCAGAUAUCAUUUGUGAGGCGACAUCACGUACCAUAUCAGUUAUUCACUCUUUGAGUAGCCUUUUGGUUUCUCCGGCUGGGUCAGUGGCUCAGCCUACUUUUGAUGGUAGCGGUGCAUCCAAUAGCAUUGACACAUCCUCCUCGGCUCCACACAUUUGCGUGCCCCAUAGUUGUGUCAUGUGUGGACACAUAUGCUUGGGUCCAAUUGGAUACCCUGGUGAUCCUCCUACGCACAGUGUAGCUUAUGAGGUGCAUGAGAUGCACGAUGCACCAGAUGUUAUGACAUAGACUGGAGGAUACCCUGGAGACUCCUCACAUGCUAGAGGUGAGCAGGCACCUUCAUCAUACAUUGAUGAUGUAUUGGUAAGAUUUGUAUUUUCAUAGUUCAUUUUAUAUUUUAAAUGAAUAUUUAUAAUCUAGAUAAUAUUAAGUACUAAUUUUUAUUUACAUGGUCUAUUUAACAGUUGAUGACCAAGGAGGAGUUAACAUAGAUCUAGGGGGACACCUUGAUGGCCAUUUCAUUUGGCCUUCAUAGCUUGAUGGUCACAAGCUGCACGAGUGUGGGGUUGUGUGAUUUAGGAUCUGGUAGUGCAUUUGGAGACAAGGGAAAUGUAAUUGAAUAGAAUUCUUGGCUUUACAUCCUUGUUGACUACACCCAGUAUACCUAAAGAUGAAGAAGAAGAAGAAGAGAUGCCUCGAGUACAUGUUGUGUAUGAAAAUAUUUGAAAACAUACCUCCUCUACCAAAGACAUACAUCAAGAGUCCUGUAGAGCCAAAGAGAAAAUGUGGAGAUGCGGAUCCUUCAGAGCUAAGCAGUGCGGUGAAGAGGAUUGAUUUUGAUGAUCCAUUAGUAGCUUAGGAUGUUAUAGAUAGUUUUUUAGAUGCUUACAUGUCUAGUUGGAAUGUAUAUUUUGUAUAUGGACAUACAUUGAUGUAUAUAGACAUACAUUUUGUUUGAGUUGGCAUUUAUGCCAUAUUUGUGUAUGGACAUACACUUGUAAUCAUU